Solanum tuberosum (potato) is the source of this 821-nucleotide long non-coding RNA. RefSeq lists it as uncharacterized. The transcript has 2 exons. The record is from RefSeq and is a predicted model, not a curated record. NCBI's taxonomy places the organism in Eukaryota, Viridiplantae, Streptophyta, Magnoliopsida, Solanales, Solanaceae.
GUUAAGUGACUUUCUAAGUGAACUAUUGAAAGUUGAGUGACCAUCUGAGAUAUUAAAUCUUCAAAAUAGGUCACUCAAUUUGAAACGGAGGGAUAAGUCACUUUAAAAAAGCGAAACCCCCACCCCACACACAUAACACAUUUGUGGACAAGUUGUAAAUUAGAUAAGGCAGAAAUAUCGGGGAGAGAGGCCUAUAAAAUGAUGGCCCUUCAUGAACCAAAAUAUUGCAUUGCCAUAACACAUAAUUCUCCUAUACGUCUAUAUCUUUCUCCUUCUUCUUAGCAAUAAUAGUAUUGUUGUCAUGGCUCGCAAUUACGCUUUCUAUUUCACUAUUGCUAUUUUGGUGAUGUCUGUUUAUUUGGAUGAGUCUACGAAAGUGAAAAUAGAUGCUGCGAGAGACGUAACAGAUUUGAAAUCAAAAGUGAAUGGUUAUAACUUGUUGGGUGGUUGUGGUGGAUCCUGUCGACAGAGUAGUGAUUGUUAUGUUCGGACAUGUCCCCGUUGUCUCUACGAUGUUCUUGCACAUACCUACAGCUGCCACUAGUAAAGGAUCCAUCAUUCAUGGCCAACACAAUAUGAAUUAUUUUCUAUAAAUAAGUUUGUGUGCCUUUAAUUUGCUUGUGUGUUUUCCUUUUCUCAUUUAAGCUUUCUUUUUUUUUUUAUUGGAAAAAAUAGAACGACUAAGUUCUACUUCUACCUUAUAAUAAUAAUAGAGGAAGGAUAAUGUCGGAUGUAAUAUCUAUCAAGAUGAGUUGUGUUGGCCUACAAUAUUUGUACUUUUCGUUUGGAGUGGAACUCUAUAAUCAAUUUGCUUUAUGGAA